GACGAACGCUGGCGGCGUGCUUAACACAUGCAAGUCGAACGGAAAGGCCCUGCUUUUGUGGGGUGCUCGAGUGGCGAACGGGUGAGUAACACGUGAGUAACCUGCCCUUGACUUUGGGAUAACUUCAGGAAACUGGGGCUAAUACCGGAUAGGAGCUCCUGCUGCAUGGUGGGGGUUGGAAAGUUUCGGCGGUUGGGGAUGGACGCGCGGCUUAUCAGCUUGUUGGUGGGGUAGUGGCUUACCAAGGCUUUGACGGGUAGCCGGCCUGAGAGGGUGACCGGCCACAUUGGGACUGAGAUACGGCCCAGACUCCUACGGGAGGCAGCAGUGGGGAAUAUUGCACAGUGGGCGGAAGCCUGAUGCAGCAACGCCGCGUGCGGGAUGACGGCCUUCGGGUUGUAAACCGCUUUCGCCUGUGACGAAGCGUGAGUGACGGUAAUGGGUAAAGAAGCACCGGCUAACUACGUG
RNAcentral lists this ribosomal RNA (468 nucleotides) under uncultured bacterium. RNAcentral's name for it is "partial 16S ribosomal RNA". It matches the Rfam family "Bacterial small subunit ribosomal RNA", at positions 28 to 507 of the family's 1533-position model. The record is from RNAcentral.